UUUUAUUUUUGUAGGUUAAAGUUAGAUGUGCUAUCCAAUGGAUGCAGAACAGUUCACUGCAUCUCGCUGAUCAUUAUCAUUUAUUCUUCCUUUUUCUAAUUCUAGUAGUUUGUAUCAUUCUGAUUUGGGGGGUGAUGCCAAGGGGAGGGAGGUAGAAACUAAAACACUUGUGUUAAAACUGUUUUAAAUACUCUGCAGCAGAAGCAUAUAGGCUGGAGAGAGAUUCCAAAUACGGCAAUGCCAGCAAAGUUAAAUAGAGAGUGACUAACAGGGCAUUGAUACAAGCAUUGGAAGGGGAUGGUUUAAUUCUGAGGGGAAUGGUAACCACACCAGCUAUGUUGAAAGCAGCCAGAAGAGCAUGUUUGACUAUAUUGUGCACAGGGCUGCCUUUCUUUUGCUAGAAAAACUUUCAAAAACUGAAUAAUCUUUGAAAAGCAGAACAUAGACUUGAGUAGCAGAGGAAAGAGUUUGACAACUUGCAGACUUCUUGCAGUCUCAUAAAAAGCUGAAAAAAAAAAUUCUACAAGAGAACCGUAGAAAUGUAGAUGAGUUCAGCCAUAUGUUGCUAAAAUGAUUAGGGUGAAUAAAUCUAUAGAAACAUGUUCAGAAGGCAUGAUUUAACAGAUAAUAUUUCAGCUGUAAAACCACUUACUGUGAACAGCUUAGAUUCUUGUUGCUAGUUGGUUGAUUUCACAAGCCUUCAGUGUGUUAGCAGUAUUAGUUUUGGAUAGUAAGGGCUUGUCUACAGAGGAAGUGACUGCAAAGUAAGCAUAAAGAUAUGAUACUGUAGUAUGCUGGGCUUUUCUGCAUUAAUUACUUUGUAGGCUAACUAUGGGCAAAAAGCGAAAACUAACCAAUUCCACUUUCAGUAGUUUUUCAGACAGUGUGUUGGGACCUCCAGAGGAUGAAAGACAUUCAGAAACAAAGACAAUCUGAUUCUUCUCCUGGUCUCCAUCCACUCUCUGCAGACCGUCUUCGUCAAGAAGCUGUCCACUUUCAAAGGCAGAACAUUAGGCAAAAUGGGCCAUGCUUCUUCGCUGGAACAGCAGAUCCAGUGCUCACAGUCAAGGCAAUUUACAGCACAGCUGUUUUCUUUUGGUCCUGUGGCAUGUUCCCCAUGUCAUCCUCUGAUAAGGUUUUGUGUUGAAAUCCAGCAGCACAGUUCCACUGGAGUUUGAGCCAAGAUAUUGAACAAGAACCUGUUCUACAGUACUUGUUAAAAGAGAAUCAAAACAAAGCCUGUGGACACCACUAACUUGUGAUUAUCUUCCUUGAAAACAUCCAUAUUGCACUGUAGUUGUAAAAAAGCGUUAUGCAUUCUAUCUGUUAUGAAUGGUCAUAACACUAUUGUUUUAGUUCUGUAAGCUUUAUAUUUAAAACAGUAUUGCCAUCUUGUGGUUCUGACAAGUUUCAUCAAUCUGUUUCUUUCUGCAGCCAUUUUUUUCUUUAUUGUGUUGCCAAGAAUUCCCGAAAUGCCACGGUACAUAAAGUGGAACUGGUAUUGUACUCUUGCAAAAUGUGCAUAGAACAAUAAAAUUAAAGUAAAAUAAAGUAAAAUAGUAAAG
Molecule: long non-coding RNA, 1565 nt
Filed under: Anser brachyrhynchus (Pink-footed goose)
Lineage: Eukaryota; Metazoa; Chordata; Aves; Anseriformes; Anatidae
Description: lncRNA (ENSABRG00000011579.1)
Source: RNAcentral